AGUGAACGCUGGCGGUAGGCCUAACACAUGCAAGUCGAACGGCAGCACAGUAAGAGCUUGCUCUUACGGGUGGCGAGUGGCGGACGGGUGAGGAAUACAUCGGAAUCUACUUUUUCGUGGGGGAUAACGUAGGGAAACUUACGCUAAUACCGCAUACGACCUACGGGUGAAAGUAGUGGAUCUUCGGACCUUGCGCGAUUGAAUGAGCCGAUGUCGGAUUAGCUAGUUGGCGGGGUAAAGGCCCACCAAGGCGACGAUCCGUAGCUGGUCUGAGAGGAUGAUCAGCCACACUGGAACUGAGACACGGUCCAGACUCCUACGGGAGGCAGCAGUGGGGAAUAUUGGACAAUGGGCGCAAGCCUGAUCCAGCCAUACCGCGUGGGUGAAGAAGGCCUUCGGGUUGUAAAGCCCUUUUGUUGGGAAAGAAAAGCAGCAGGUUAAUACCCCGCUGUUCUGACGGUACCCAAAGAAUAAGCACCGGCUAACUUCGUG
Molecule: ribosomal RNA, 492 nt
Filed under: uncultured bacterium
Lineage: Bacteria
Description: partial 16S ribosomal RNA
Rfam family: Bacterial small subunit ribosomal RNA
Source: RNAcentral